AGCGCAGGUGCCGCAAUUUGCGGCAGACGAGGAAAGAGGUUGUCGAACAGUCAGCGGAUGCCUCUCGGCUUGCUGCAGGCCGUAAAGCUGGGUACAAAAACUGCCGGUAACGGCGGCGACAAAA
This 124-nucleotide non-coding RNA is filed under the name uncultured Phascolarctobacterium sp. Its description in RNAcentral is "glmS glucosamine-6-phosphate activated ribozyme". It matches the Rfam family "glmS glucosamine-6-phosphate activated ribozyme aptamer", at positions 12 to 149 of the family's 167-position model. Rfam says of the family: This entry contains a glucosamine-6-phosphate activated ribozyme that is found in the mRNA for GlmS. The record is from RNAcentral. Lineage: Bacteria; Bacillati; Bacillota; Negativicutes; Acidaminococcales; Acidaminococcaceae.